GGAAGAGUUCCCGAGUGGCCAAAGGGAACAGACUGUAAAUCUGUCGUCAAUGACUUCGGUGGUUCGAAUCCACCCUCUUCCA
Molecule: non-coding RNA, 82 nt
Organism: Clostridiales bacterium 41_21_two_genomes
Lineage: Bacteria; Bacillati; Bacillota; Clostridia; Eubacteriales
Source: Rfam